RNAcentral lists this unclassified non-coding RNA (348 nucleotides) under soil metagenome. RNAcentral describes it as "partial contains 5.8S ribosomal RNA, internal transcribed spacer 2, and large subunit ribosomal RNA". The stretch from base 1 to 120 matches the Rfam family "5.8S ribosomal RNA", at positions 35 to 154 of the family's 154-position model. The record is from RNAcentral.
GAUGAAGAACGCAGCGAAAUGCGAAAAGUAAUGUGAAUUGCAGAAUUCAGUGAAUCAUCGAAUCUUUGAACGCACAUUGCGCCCGCCAGUAUUCUGGCGGGCAUGCCUGUCUGAGCGUCAUUUCAACCCUCAUGCCCCUAGGGCGUGGUGUUGGGGAUCGGCCAGCGCCCGCGAGGGACGGCCGGCCCCUAAAUCUAGUGGCGGACCCAUCGUGGCCUCCCCUGCGAAGUAGUGAUAUUCCGCAUAGGAGAGCGACGAGCCCCUGCCGUUAAACCCCCAACUUUCUAAGGUUGACCUCAGAUCAGGUAGGAAUACCCGCUGAACUUAAGCAUAUCAAUAAGCGGAGGA